CGCACAUUGCGCCCAUUAGUAUUCUAGUGGGCAUGCCUGUUCGAGCGUCAUUUCAACCCUUAAGCCUCUGUUGCUUAGUGUUGGGAGCCUACGGCACUGUAGCUCCUCAAAGUUAGUGGCGGAGUUGGUUCACACUCUAGACGUAGUAGAUUUUAUCUCGCCUAUUAGUUGGACCGGUCCCUUGCCGUGAAACCCCUAAUUUUUAAAGGUUGACCUCGGAUCAGGUAGGAAUACCCGCUGAACUUAA
This 247-nucleotide unclassified non-coding RNA is filed under the name Xylaria sp. RNAcentral's name for it is "partial contains 5.8S ribosomal RNA, internal transcribed spacer 2, and large subunit ribosomal RNA". Lineage: Eukaryota; Fungi; Ascomycota; Sordariomycetes; Xylariales; Xylariaceae. The record is from RNAcentral.